GGACUUAUGGAGCAACAAAAUUUCAGCACUCGACGUGAAUAUCUUUCAAGGUUUGACGUCACUCGAGAUAUUGAACUUAUGGAGCAACAAAAUUUCAGCACUCGACGUGAAUAUCUUUCAAGGUUUGACGUCACUCGAGAUAUUGUGGCUGAGUGCCAAUCAAAUUGAAACGCUUGACGUAAAUCUCUUUAAUGGUUUGACGGCUCUGGGGACAUUGUAAGUAU
Mytilus trossulus (common blue mussel) is the source of this 224-nucleotide long non-coding RNA. RefSeq lists it as uncharacterized. NCBI's taxonomy places the organism in Eukaryota, Metazoa, Mollusca, Bivalvia, Mytilida, Mytilidae. The transcript is spliced from 3 exons. The record is from RefSeq and is a predicted model, not a curated record.